UACAGAGGGUGCAAGCGUUAAUCGGAUUUACUGGGCGUAAAGGGCGCGUAGGUGGUUGCGUAAGUGAGUUGUGAAAUCCCCGGGCUUAACCUGGGAACUGCAACUUAUACUGCGUAGCUGGAGUGCAAUAGAGGGUAGUGGAAUUUCCGGUGUAGCGGUGAAAUGCGUAGAUAUCGGAAGGAACACCAGUGGCGAAGGCGGCUACCUGGAUUGACACUGACACUGAGGCGCGAGAGCGUGGGGAGCAAACAGG
Molecule: ribosomal RNA, 253 nt
Filed under: uncultured bacterium
Lineage: Bacteria
Description: partial 16S ribosomal RNA
Rfam family: Bacterial small subunit ribosomal RNA
Source: RNAcentral